CAGUAUCUGAGAUGAACAACUUAUAACAGAACCUUUAUUUUGCCUCACAGUCUCAGAGGUUUUGGUCUAUGAAUGGGUGGCCUGGUGUCUUUUAGGCCUGUGGUGGCACAGUGAAUAGGUGCAGGAGCACAUAUUAGAGAAGGCUGCUUACCUUAUGACAGCUGGGAAGUAAAAGGAGAGGACUGGAGUCCCUAAAGCUCCCUUAAAGGCCACACCCUCAAGGACCUCACUUCCUCCCAUUAGGCCCUGCCUCCUGAAGAUUCCACCAUUUCCCAAUAACUCUAUAGAAUGAAAAAGUUUCAGCCUAUAGGGCUUUGGGAUGCAUUUAAGAUCCAAACCAUAACAAAGUCACAUUCAGAGAGCAAGUAAGAAUGAAGGUGAAGGUUACCCUAAAAGAGACCCGGCUCCUGGUGAUAUAUGUACUCACCCCAUUGCAAGCCCACAAAGUGACGGAUCAGUAGGUUUGCAAAUCUCCAGCGGUCUGCUGUUUCCAUUAGACAGUGUUGCAAGAUUAAACACAGGACAUUCUGUUAAAUGUGACUUACAGCAAACACGACUGCUGCAGGUGGAGUUUUCUAGGUACA
Molecule: long non-coding RNA, 584 nt
Filed under: Fukomys damarensis (Damara mole-rat)
Lineage: Eukaryota; Metazoa; Chordata; Mammalia; Rodentia; Bathyergidae
Description: lncRNA (ENSFDAG00000032858.1)
Source: RNAcentral